GAUGAACGCUGGCGGCGGGCUUAACACAUGCAAGUCGAACGGCAAGACGCGGCUUUCGUGCGGUGCCCGAGUGGCACACGGGCGAGUGACACGUGCGUAUCCUGCCCCUGACUUUGGGAUAACUACAGGCCACUGGGGCUCAUACCGGAUACGAGCGUCUGCUGCAUGGUGGGGGCUGGAUAGAUUCGGCGGUUGGGGAUGGGCUCGCGGCUUGUGAGCGUGUUGGUGGGGGCGUGGCUUACGAAGGAUUUGGCGGGUAACCGGCCUGAGAGGGUGACCGGCCACCUUGCCACUCUGAUACGGCCCGGAGUCCUACGGGAGACAGCAGUAGGGAAUAUUGCACAAUGGGCGGAAGCCUGAUGCAGGAACGCCGCGUUCGGGAUGACGGCCUUCGUUUUGGAGGCCGCUUGCGCCUGUGACGAUGCGUGAUUGACGGUAAUGGGUAAAGAAGCACCGGCUAACUACGUG
Molecule: ribosomal RNA, 468 nt
Filed under: uncultured bacterium
Lineage: Bacteria
Description: partial 16S ribosomal RNA
Rfam family: Bacterial small subunit ribosomal RNA
Source: RNAcentral